Molecule: ribosomal RNA, 253 nt
Filed under: uncultured bacterium
Lineage: Bacteria
Description: partial 16S ribosomal RNA
Rfam family: Bacterial small subunit ribosomal RNA
Source: RNAcentral
UACGUAGGGUGCAAGCGUUAUCCGGAAUUAUUGGGCGUAAAGAGCUCGUAGGCGGUUUGUCGCGUCUGCUGUGAAAACCGGAGGAUCAACCUCCGGCCUGCAGUGGGUACGGGCAAACUAGAGUGCGGUAGGGGAGAUUGGAAUUCCUGGUGUAGCGGUGAAAUGCGUAGAUAUCGAGAGGAACACCUGCGGCGAAGGCGGGUUGCUGGGCUGACACUGACGCUGAGGCGCGAAAGCUAGGGGAGCGAACGGG